This 274-nucleotide ribosomal RNA is filed under the name uncultured bacterium. Its description in RNAcentral is "partial 16S ribosomal RNA". It matches the Rfam family "Bacterial small subunit ribosomal RNA", at positions 523 to 796 of the family's 1533-position model. The record is from RNAcentral.
AUACGGAGGGUGCAAGCGUUAAUCGGAAUUACUGGGCGUAAAGCGUGCGUAGGCGGCUUGUUAAGUCAGAUGUGAAAGCCCCGGGCUCAACCUGGGAACUGCAUUUGAAACUGGCAAGCUAGAGUAUGGUAGAGGGGGGUAGAAUUUCUGGUGUAGCGGUGAAAUGCGUAGAUAUCAGAAGGAAUACCAGUGGCGAAGGCGGCCCCCUGGACCAAUACUGACGCUGAGGUACGAAAGCGUGGGGAGCGAACAGGAUUAGAAACCCCAGUAGUCC